CGAGCCGGUCAGGCGGCCGCGGCGCGCACUGCGGUGUCGCGUCGAGGAAGGUCCGGACUCCACAGAGCACGGUGGUGGGCAACACCCACCCGGGGUGACCCGCGGGACAGUGCCACAGAAAGCAGACCGCCAGCGGCCGCGGAGGUUACGGCCUCAGCGGUGCGGGCAAGGGUGAAACGGUGGUGUAAGAGACCACCAGCGCCUCGGGCAACCGGGGCGGCUCGGUAAACCCCACCCGGAGCAAGGCCAAAAGGGCCGGCCGUUCGCGGCCGGCCUGCGCAGACGUCUGAGGGCUGCUCGCCCGAGUCCGCGGGUAGGCCGCAGGAGGGCGCCGGUGACGGCGCCCGCAGAUGGAUGGUCGCCACGAUCACCGCAAGGUGACCGACAGAAUCCGGCCUAUCGGCCGGCUCGUCCG
RNAcentral lists this RNase P RNA (415 nucleotides) under Nocardioidaceae bacterium. RNAcentral's name for it is "RNase P RNA component class A". It matches the Rfam family "Bacterial RNase P class A". From Rfam's summary of the family: Ribonuclease P (RNase P) is a ubiquitous endoribonuclease, found in archaea, bacteria and eukarya as well as chloroplasts and mitochondria. Its best characterised activity is the generation of mature 5'-ends of tRNAs by cleaving the 5'-leader elements of precursor-tRNAs. RNAcentral also lists the same sequence under 1 other name. The record is from RNAcentral. Lineage: Bacteria; Bacillati; Actinomycetota; Actinomycetes; Propionibacteriales; Nocardioidaceae.